Vicia villosa (hairy vetch) is the source of this 2080-nucleotide long non-coding RNA. RefSeq lists it as uncharacterized. Lineage: Eukaryota; Viridiplantae; Streptophyta; Magnoliopsida; Fabales; Fabaceae. The transcript is spliced from 6 exons. The record is from RefSeq and is a predicted model, not a curated record.
AAGAAAUUUUUCAAGACCAAUUUAGAACUAGAUCACCUUUCAGCUUGGGUGAAGGAAUACAAGGAUGGAAAAGUUGCUCCAUUUAUCAAGUCUGAACCUAUCCCUGCCACUAACAACGAACCUGUUAAAGUGGUACUUGGGGAAACUCUUCAGGAAAUAGUUUUCAACUAUGGGAAGAAUGUUUUGCUUGAGUUUUAUGCCUCAUGGUGUGGUUACUGCAAAUCCUUGGUUCCAAUCUUGUAUGAAGUUGCUGUCUCAUUCCAUAGUGAUGCUGAUGUUGUUAAUGCAAAACUUGAUGCAACUGCCAACGAUAUCUCAAGAGAAACCUUUGAGGUCUAAGGUUAUCCAAUUUUCUACUUCAGGUCAGCAAGUGGAAAGAUAUCACAAUAUGACGGUGGUAGGACAAAGGAAGACAUCAUAGAAUUCAUUCAAAAGAACAAGGACACAACUGGUGUUGCUCAACAAAAAGUAGAACAACCAAAAGCUCCUGCUCAGCAAGAAGUAGAACAACAUAAAGAUGAGAUUUGAGAGGUAACUUUAAAAGUGGUGGUUACAUACCCUAUAAAUUAAAGAUUGUUUAAAUAUUGUUUUGGAGGUAAAAGUUGGAUGGCCUCCCAAAUGAGAUCAAAUGUGUGACCAACCAAUUAGCCCUUUCUUUUUCAUAUGUCUGCAUCUCUAAUCUAAACUUGAGGUGUUUCAACUUCAAAAUGCUUUGUUAUUAAGUUUGGAUUAGACGGUCACAGAAUUCAAAAACCAUAUGCUUUGUUAUAUAAUGCCCGCGUUUCCAACAUGACUAUGGCUACCGUCUCGAGGAGAUUAUAUGAACAAUUUCCAACGGGACUAUGGCUACCGUCUCGGUCACUUUGAGCGCAAACGUAAGAAGACGGCUCAUAAUGUUCAUAAGCAGUAUAAAACGACCCAGAAGCUUUAUCCCAGAUAGAGGAAAAUUCGACAAUAAUUACAGGACACUCCAAAAUCCGUUUCUUAGAUUUUAAAAUAUCCUUGCAAUAUUCUACUGAACCAAAAUGGUGUGAACUAAUGGCAUUUCAACAAGGAUCGAUGGAAAUUACUGUUAUGGGAUAGGAUUCUAAACAGCUAAGACUUUUGUUGCAGCAGGUAAAUAACAUGAAAUGGAAGCUAAUUGUAAAAUAUUUGAAUUACAGGUGAAUUUGCGUGAAAUAUAAUAUAAUGUCUAUGUCGAAAUCUAUUUUUUAUGGAUUUGUUAUGACAUCUCUCUGAAGGCAGCAAUUGCAAUUGCACAGAGACUUAGUACCAUGAGCAUUUUCUUGCAAGUAUCCUAACCAAGUAAGUGUAUAUUCAUAUAUCAUUCAAUUCAGAUUAAUAUUUAUAGCUCUAGCUUCUGAUGAAAUACUAAUAUAUUUUAACGUGAUGUGUUCAUGUUUCAUUUGAUAUGGUAGAAAAGUACCCAAAGGUUCAUGUGUUCAUGUUUCAUUUGAUAUGCAUUAUUUCAAGAUUAUCAUGCUCUUAUAUCUUUCACAACUGCAAUGGCAACCUUCAUGGAACAAGUAAGAGGUGGUAGAGCCAAAUUUGAACCACAAAGAAUAGUCAUUACUGCUAGAGCUGCUACUGCCAAUGAACUCUAACCUUCAUGGAAUAAGUAUCUAAGAUGAAUAAUUUGUAUACUAAUCUUUUUAUUGUACUUUUGUAGGUUUGAUAAAGAUUUAAGGUGGAGAACUGGUGUAAAUAUAGUUCCAAUUCACUGCAACAACUCUAACAAUUUCGAGGACGUGUAAUGGAUGGCAGGCCUUACGGUGUACCAUGUGUUGAGAAAGUGGAAGGGUACACUGUCAAGUGAAUAAUUGCACCUUGAGAAGGUUCAAAUGCGAAAUAUAACAAAACACUUAACACUGCGAGAGACUACGAUUGUCAUGGAUUUCACACAUUAUAAACAAUAGGAGGAAACUAUGUUUCUGGAGCUAAUGUUUCCAGCUUUGGAACCGGAACUGCUAAAGGUGGUUCUCCAAAAGUAAGAGUUGUGUCUUACAAAUAAUGCUGGCCCCUGACUAUUAAAGACGAAGCGUGUUAUGAUGCUGAUAUCAUAGCAACUUUUGAUAUGGAA